Molecule: ribosomal RNA, 800 nt
Filed under: uncultured bacterium
Lineage: Bacteria
Description: bacterial SSU rRNA
Rfam family: Bacterial small subunit ribosomal RNA
Source: RNAcentral
AGAGUUUGAUCCUGGCUCAGAUUGAACGCUGGCGGCAUGCCUUACACAUGCAAGUCGAACGGCAGCACGGGAGCAAUCCUGGUGGCGAGUGGCGAACGGGUGAGUAAUAUAUCGGAACGUGCCCAGUCGUGGGGGAUAACGCAGCGAAAGCUGUGCUAAUACCGCAUACGAUCUACGGAUGAAAGCGGGGGAUCGCAAGACCUCGCGCGAUUGGAGCGGCCGAUAUCAGAUUAGCUAGUUGGCGGGGUAAAAGCCCACCAAGGCGACGAUCUGUAGCUGGUCUGAGAGGACGACCAGCCACACUGGAACUGAGACACGGUCCAGACUCCUACGGGAGGCAGCAGUGGGGAAUUUUGGACAAUGGGCGCAAGCCUGAUCCAGCAAUGCCGCGUGCAGGAUGAAGGCCUUUGGGUUGUAAACUGCUUUUGUACGGAACGAAACGGUGAUCUCUAAUAAAGGUCGCUAAUGACGGUACCGUAAGAAUAAGCACCGGCUAACUACGUGCCAGCAGCCGCGGUAAUACGUAGGGUGCAAGCGUUAAUCGGAAUUACUGGGCGUAAAGCGUGCGCAGGCGGUGAUGUAAGACAGAUGUGAAAUCCCCGGGCUCAACCUGGGACCUGCAUUUGUGACUGCAUCGCUAGAGUACGGUAGAGGGGGAUGGAAUUCCGCGUGUAGCAGUGAAAUGCGUAGAUAUGCGGAGGAACACCGAUGGCGAAGGCAAUCCCCUGGACCUGUACUGACGCUCAUGCACGAAAGCGUGGGGAGCAAACAGGAUUAGAUACCCUGGUAGUCCACGCCCU